RNAcentral lists this non-coding RNA (173 nucleotides) under Cupriavidus taiwanensis. The record is from RNAcentral. Lineage: Bacteria; Pseudomonadati; Pseudomonadota; Betaproteobacteria; Burkholderiales; Burkholderiaceae. RNAcentral also lists the same sequence under 1 other name.
CCCCGGGCGACUGGGGGUCUGAAGGAAGCCCGAGGCAAAGCGCUGGCCUGACGAACAGGAAGCGGAUAUGAGGCGACGCAUCUGGGUAAGGCAGCAAAAAGGGCCAAAGCCCAGUACUUGCACGGAACGGUGCGGCGUAGAUCCGACAGGCAUAAGCGUGAAGGUGGGUGCGU